This 496-nucleotide ribosomal RNA is filed under the name uncultured bacterium. Its description in RNAcentral is "partial 16S ribosomal RNA". It matches the Rfam family "Bacterial small subunit ribosomal RNA", at positions 29 to 507 of the family's 1533-position model. The record is from RNAcentral.
AUGAACGCUGGCGGCGUGCCUCAUACAUGCAAGUCGAGCGAACAGACGAGGAGCUUGCUCCUCUGACGUUAGCGGCGGACGGGUGAGUAACACGUGGAUAACCUACCUAUAAGACUGGGAUAACUUCGGGAAACCAGAGCUAAUACCGGAUAAUAUAUUGAACCGCAUGGUUCAAUAGUGAAAGACGGUUUUGCUGUCACUUAUAGAUGGAUCCGCGCCGCAUUAGCUAGUUGGUAAGGUAACGGCUUACCAAGGCAACGAUGCGUAGCCGACCUGAGAGGGUGAUCGGCCACACUGGAACUGAGACACGGUCCAGACUCCUACGGGAGGCAGCAGUAGGGAAUCUUCCGCAAUGGGCGAAAGCCUGACGGAGCAACGCCGCGUGAGUGAUGAAGGUCUUCGGAUCGUAAAACUCUGUUAUUAGGGAAGAACAAAUGUGUAAGUAACUAUGCACGUCUUGACGGUACCUAAUCAGAAAGCCACGGCUAACUACGUG